RNAcentral lists this non-coding RNA (26 nucleotides) under Mus musculus (house mouse). The record is from RNAcentral. Lineage: Eukaryota; Metazoa; Chordata; Mammalia; Rodentia; Muridae.
UGUGUGUUAUUUAGUGAUGACCAGCU